UGUUCAUAUAUACCAACCCCUGACUGAUUAACUUCUCCUAUUUCACUUGAGCACUUUUGCCUUCUGAUCUCCAUCAGAGCAAAAGAUGGUAGUAGAAACUAUACUUGGUGUUGUUUCAACAAUCUUGAUGAAGCUAAUUCCACUUGCUGUCGAGCAGAUCUCUCUUGCUUGGGCUGUUUAUGAAGAUCUCCAAAACCUUUCUAAGAAACUAGAGAUGAUUCAGGCUGCAGGCAGAUGACUAGCAAAGCUGUGCAGCAUUGGCCCAAAAAUCUUCAGACAGUAACACUUGAUGCUGACACCGUGUUGGAUGAUUUUGGACAUGAAGUUCUUGGCCACAAGAUUGAGAUUGGAAAGGGUGCUAAGGUGAGCAGUUCUUUUAUGUUUCGCUGAGCGAUGGCCAAGAAGAUAGAGAACAUAUUAUCUUUGAUGAAAUGGUAAGGUGCUGAGGUGCUUUGAUGAAAGAAUUUGCUUAGCGUAUCUGAUGAUUUUGAAGUGGAAAGGCUGUUGAAUGAGAUGCUGUAAUCUUUGAAGGGAACCAAACUUGGGACGACAAACAGUAAGGCAAUGUUAAAGAGGUUUUAAAAGCAUUUAAAAGUGAUGUAGAAUAGGUGCCAGGCAACUUUUGGGUCAAGAUGGAUUGGGCAAAGAAGGGAAGGAAGAGCCAAUCGAGAUGCAUCAUCGGUGCAGGUUUCUGGAGCCAAUUUGGCCAUGGAUUCAGCUGAGCUAAGACCGGAUUCUCAGCUGGAUUCAAGGUAGAGAGUGGAGUUAGAUAAUGAAUUGGUAGACCAUUUAUGAUGGAGGGUGGCGGCACUGGUGUAUGUUGGACUACAAUACUGGGAUUUCGUUGCAGCCGUUGGAUGCUGAAGUGGAAGUUUGCACAUUUGGGUGCCGGCGGUUAUGGUUAAGUAAAUGUGGAUUGGAAGAAUCUGAGGAGGAGGAUUAUCGCGAGCGAGGCGGCUGAGUUAGGAGAGAGGGGACCAUUUUUUUCCUUUCUUCUGCAGGUUAAAAGGGAUUUUGGAUUUGUGGAUGUGGUGGAUGGUGGAUAUGGAUGGGGAUUAGGGUAGAAAUGAAUCUAAUUAAGUCGAACAUCCUAGUGUUCAAACUUGUUUAAUUAUUUUAAUGAAUUUGAAAUUUGGUA
Molecule: non-coding RNA, 1138 nt
Organism: Coffea arabica (coffee)
Lineage: Eukaryota; Viridiplantae; Streptophyta; Magnoliopsida; Gentianales; Rubiaceae
Source: RefSeq, a predicted model, not a curated record